This 680-nucleotide long non-coding RNA is filed under the name Mytilus galloprovincialis (Mediterranean mussel). Lineage: Eukaryota; Metazoa; Mollusca; Bivalvia; Mytilida; Mytilidae. The record is from RNAcentral.
GUGGUGAUCUCAACGGUUUUCAAGUUCUCAAACAGGUAGAAGGGGAGAAGAUUUUUUUGGGAAAAAAAUUGGUUGCUUAUAUAGGGAAUCACUGAAGCGUGACUGGGAGCGAGCCCCCUCUUAGGUCAGUCAGUGGGCCCCCACUUAUGAAAAUUUCUGGAUCCCCCACUGGGGUUCGGGUGACCCUUGGGACUUCCCCUACAUUUCAUUUUAUUUGUUAUAUUGUCCCAUACAUAAAUAUAUAUGGUUUAGGGAUGGGGAUCUCAUUGGUUUCCAAGUUCUCAAACAGGAGGGGUAGGGUGACCCCAGGGACUCCCCCUAUAUUUCAUUUAAUUAGUUAUAUUGGCCCAUAUAUGAAUAUAUAUUGUUUUGGUGUGGGGAUCUCGACCGUUUCCAAGUUCUCAAAUAGGAGGGUUAGGGUGACCACAGGGACUUCCCCUAUUUCAUGUGAUUUGUUAUAUUGUCCCAUACAUGAGUAUAUAUGGUUUAGGGUGAGGAUCUUGACCAUUUCCAAGUUCUCAAACAGGAGGGUCUACAGUGACCCCAGGGACUCCCCUAUCUUUCAUUUGAAUUGUUAUAUUUUUCCCGUACAUCAAUAUAUAUAUGGUUAAGAGGUGGGGAUCUCAACGGGUUUCAAAUUCUCAAACAGGAGGGGGUGGGGUGACCCAAGGGACUCCCCC